AUUGAACGCUGGCGGAAUGCUUUACACAUGCAAGUCGAACGGCAGCACGGACUUCGGUCUGGUGGCGAGUGGCGAACGGGUGAGUAAUGUAUCGGAACGUGCCCAGUCGUGGGGGAUAACGUAGUGAAAAUUACGCUAAUACCGCAUACGAUCUAUGGAUGAAAGCGGGGGAUCGCAAGACCUCGCGCGAUUGGAGCGGCCGAUAUCAGAUUAGGUAGUUGGUGGGGUAAAGGCCCACCAAGCCAACGAUCUGUAGCUGGUCUGAGAGGACGAUCAGACACACUGGAACGGAGACACGGUCCAGACUCCUACUGGGAGCAGCAGUGGGGAAUGUUGGACAAUGGGGGAAAGCGUGAUCCAGCCAUUCCGCGUGCAGGAUGAAGGCCCUCGGGUUGUAAACUGCUUUGGUGCAGAACGAAAAGGUUUCUACUAAUACUAGGAGCUCAUGACGGUACUGUAAGAAUAAGCACCGGCUAACUACGUGCCAGCAGCCGCCGUAA
RNAcentral lists this ribosomal RNA (500 nucleotides) under uncultured bacterium. Its description in RNAcentral is "partial 16S ribosomal RNA". It matches the Rfam family "Bacterial small subunit ribosomal RNA", at positions 30 to 523 of the family's 1533-position model. The record is from RNAcentral.